Hevea brasiliensis (rubber tree) is the source of this 1738-nucleotide long non-coding RNA. RefSeq lists it as uncharacterized. Lineage: Eukaryota; Viridiplantae; Streptophyta; Magnoliopsida; Malpighiales; Euphorbiaceae. The transcript is spliced from 4 exons. The record is from RefSeq and is a predicted model, not a curated record.
CCCAUUUCACUUGCACCGGCAAUAACAGAAUACGAGGGUUGCCUCCAAAGAGAUUGGUAAUGGUAUUCAAACUCUGGUAAUUGCUUGAUGAAGUAUAUGAAUCUAGGAUGACGUACCACUCAAGCACUUUAUGCUUAUGGUCAUGUUCAAGUUGAACUCAGCUAGAAAGAUUAAUCUUACCAGUGUCAGUUGUUACUGCAACAUGUUUCCUGGGUUCUGACUUACAAGUGUUAGUUUGUUGGAUUUUGGUAUGUGAAUCCUUCAUAACCAUGGCAUCGGUUACCAUCCUACAAGACAAAAGUGCACUAAUCAGAUUCUGUAAUAAGAUUGUAGGAGACAUUUAAUUGGAAGGUUUAGAUGAAGAGAACAUUUAGGGUAGGGUACAUUCUUUCUAUGAGUUGUGCCUUAGUAGUUGUACAUUCAUUAGUGUAGGACAUUUAGUUGUGCCUUAGGUCUUUUUCUUCUUCUUUUUUUUUUUUUUUUUUUGAAAAAAAAAAUAUCUGGAAUGAGAUGAGUUUAACUUGCCUCGUUUCUUGUAUUUGGCCUGAGGUUUGUCAACCAAAAAAAAUACCACCACCAAUAACGUUGGAGAGAAAUGUCCUCCAUAUGAAGAUAAUCUUUUGAUUUUACAGGCAGAAGAAGCCAGGCGUUUGAGCAAAAGACGAAAAGCUGAAACUCCACGUCUAUUGGAAACAGAGAGAAGACAAAAACAGCGGGUAGAAGAGGUUCGAGAGGCACAGAAAAAGGAUAAGGAAACUCUGAAUUUGAAAGAGCAAAUUCGCAUUGAGGUAAGGACAAAACUGGAUAAACUGGAAGCUAACUGUAGAGAUAUGGCUUCAUUUCUUCAUGGCCUUGGAAUCAAUAUUGGAGGUGGUCUUUACCCUUUGUCUUCUGAGGUACGUGCUGCUUAUAAACAAGCUCUGGUUAGGUUCCAUCCAAAUCGAGCAUGAAGAAGUGACAUUCGCCAGCAAAUUGAAGCUGAAGAAAAAUUUAAGGUUAUUUCUUGUGCAAAAGAGAAAUUUAUGUUGUGACAUGAUGAAAGAAGUAUGAUUAAGAUCACUUCCAAUUUUUGAUCAGUCUAGCCAAUCUUUUUGUUACAUUAUAUAGGUUGAGCAUAUGUUAAAAUCUUCUUAUACCUUAACCUUUAGUUUUUCAUUUGCCUUUUAAUAAUAUCAACGUAGUAACCAUGUUUAUAAUCUUUGGUGCAUCAUUUAGCUUAAUAAUUGUUUGACCCAUAUUUAAUAGCGGGAAAAAAAAAGUGUCGGAGGCUGGUGAGGUAAAAGGAAUGAUUUUGAACACUCUCGCUGCUGUGUAUUCAAGUACUGCUAUGUUGAAUCCCUUAAAGAUGAGAACCUUUUUCAUUUUUAUCUUAUUCUUAGGGACAAAAUGUUGGCAGGUCGGAAGCGAGCUUUGAUUAAUUAGCACAAAACUUGGUAACUAAUGCUGUAACAUCACUGCAUUGUAACAGACCAUCGUGAGGAGUUGGAAAGAAACUGUAGAUUGAGCAAUUAUCCUCGAUUUGGUUUUGCUUUUGUAGUUUGCACUCUCUUACUUUUGGCUUGCCUCUGCAAGAUGAGAACUCCUUAAUUCUCCUUUGAGAGCUCAGUUGCCAAGCUGGAGGAUCGCAUUGCAAGAGCCUUUACCACAAGUGAACCAGAGGCCUUCAAAUUCUGAGUUGAACUUUCUUUCUGGUAAAGGUCCAAACAUUCAAAAAAGAAAGGGGAAAAAAAAGGAAAAA